UGGGGAAUAUUGGACAAUGGGCGAAAGCCUGAUCCAGCCAUGCCGCGUGUGUGAAGAAGGUCUUCGGAUUGUAAAGCACUUUAAGUUGGGAGGAAGGGCAGUAAGCGAAUACCUUGCUGUUUUGACGUUACCGACAGAAUAAGCACCGGCUAACUCUGUGCCAGCAGCCGCGGUAAUACAGAGGGUGCAAGCGUUAAUCGGAAUUACUGGGCGUAAAGCGCGCGUAGGUGGUUCGUUAAGUUGAAUGUGAAAGCCCCGGGCUCAACCUGGGAACUGCAUCCAAAACUGUCGAGCUAGAGUAGGGCAGAAGGUGGUGGAAUUUCCUGUGUAGCGGUGAAAUGCGUAGAUAUAAGAAGGAACACCAGUGGCGAAGGCGACCACCUGGGCUCAUACUGACACUGAGGUGCGAAAGCGUGGGGAGCAAACAGG
RNAcentral lists this ribosomal RNA (429 nucleotides) under Pseudomonadota bacterium. Its description in RNAcentral is "Proteobacteria bacterium partial 16S ribosomal RNA". It matches the Rfam family "Bacterial small subunit ribosomal RNA", at positions 355 to 776 of the family's 1533-position model. Lineage: Bacteria; Pseudomonadati; Pseudomonadota. The record is from RNAcentral.